Molecule: ribosomal RNA, 308 nt
Filed under: uncultured eukaryote
Lineage: Eukaryota
Description: partial 18S ribosomal RNA
Rfam family: Eukaryotic small subunit ribosomal RNA
Source: RNAcentral
CCCUUAGACGUUCUGGGCCGCACGCGCGCUACACUGACGAAGGCAACGAGCUUUCCUUUACCGAAAGGUACGGGUAAUCUUUUGAAACUUCGUCGCGCUGGGGAUAGAUCCUUGCAAUUAUUGAUCUUAAACGAGGAAUUCCUAGUAAGCGCAAGUCAUCAACUUGCGUUGAUUACGUCCCUGCCCUUUGUACACACCGCCCGUCGCUACUACCGAUUGAAUGGUUUAGUGAGGCCUUCGGAUCCGCGACUCGUUUUGUGGAGAAGUUGGACAAACUCAGUCAUUUAGAGGAAGUAAAAGUCGUAACA